Molecule: long non-coding RNA, 318 nt
Filed under: Chlamydomonas reinhardtii
Lineage: Eukaryota; Viridiplantae; Chlorophyta; Chlorophyceae; Chlamydomonadales; Chlamydomonadaceae
Description: long non-coding RNA (CREI_LNC001108)
Source: RNAcentral
CAGGUCACGCGGCUUGGUGGCGCCGGCCGCCAGCACCACGGCGUCGUGCUUGCCCACCAGGUCCUGCGCCGUGACGUUGCCGCCCACGUGGGCGUUCAUCACGAACUUGACGCCCUCCGCCGCCAUCAGGUCCACACGGCGCUGCACCACGUCCAGCUUGCCGGCCUUCAUGUUGGGCACGCCGUACAUCAUCAGGCCGCCGGCGCGGUCCGCGCGCUCGUACACGGUCACCUCGUGGCCCAUCUUGUUCAGCUGGUCGGCCGCUGCCAGGCCGGCGGGGCCGCUGCCCACCACGGCCACCUGCUUGCCGGUGCGCAG